GAUGAACGCUGGCGGCGUGCUUAACACAUGCAAGUCGAACGAUGAACCUCACUUGUGGGGGGAUUAGUGGCGAACGGGUGAGUAACACGUGAGUAACCUGCCCUUAACUCUGGGAUAAGCCUGGGAAACUGGGUCUAAUACCGGAUAUGACUCCUCAUCGCAUGGUGGGGGGUGGAAAGCUUUAUUGUGGUUUUGGAUGGACUCGCGGCCUAUCAGCUUGUUGGUGAGGUAAUGGCUCACCAAGGCGACGACGGGUAGCCGGCCUGAGAGGGUGACCGGCCACACUGGGACUGAGACGCGGCCCAGACUCCUACGGGAGGCAGCAGUGGGGAAUAUUGCACAAUGGGCGAAAGCCUGAUGCAGCGACGCCGCGUGAGGGAUGACGGCCUUCGGGUUGUAAACCUCUUUCAGUAGGGAAGAAGCGAAAGUGACGGUACCUGCAGAAGAAGCGCCGGCUAACUACGUGCCAGCAGCCGCGGUAAUACGUAGGGCGCAAGCGUUAUCCGGAAUUAUUGGGCGUAAAGAGCUCGUAGGCGGUUUGUCGCGUCUGCCGUGAAAGUCCGGGGCUCAACUCCGGAUCUGCGGUGGGUACGGGCAGACUAGAGUGAUGUAGGGGAGACUGGAAUUCCUGGUGUAGCGGUGAAAUGCGCAGAUAUCAGGAGGAACACCGAUGGCGAAGGCAGGUCUCUGGGCAUUAACUGACGCUGAGGAGCGAAAGCAUGGGGAGCGAACAGGAUUAGAUACCCUGGUAGUCCAUGCCGUAAACGUUGGGCACUAGGUGUGGGGGGACAUUCCACGUUUUCCGCGCCGUAGCUAACGCAUUAAGUGCCCCGCCUGGGGAGUACGGCCGCAAGGCUAAAACUCAAAGGAAUUGACGGGGGCCCGCACAAGCGGCGGAGCAUGCGGAUUAAAUUCGAUGCAACGCGAAGAACCUUACCAAGGCUUGACAUGAACCGGGAAAUACCUGGGAAACAG
RNAcentral lists this ribosomal RNA (975 nucleotides) under uncultured bacterium. RNAcentral describes it as "bacterial SSU rRNA". It matches the Rfam family "Bacterial small subunit ribosomal RNA", at positions 28 to 1009 of the family's 1533-position model. The record is from RNAcentral.